GGGUGUUUGGUCUAGUGGUAUGAUUCUUGCUUUGGUUGCAAGAGGUUGUGAGUUCGAUUCUCAUAACACCCC
Molecule: transfer RNA, 72 nt
Organism: Ipomoea nil (Japanese morning glory)
Lineage: Eukaryota; Viridiplantae; Streptophyta; Magnoliopsida; Solanales; Convolvulaceae
Rfam family: tRNA
About the family: Transfer RNA (tRNA) molecules are approximately 80 nucleotides in length.
Source: Rfam